CCUACGGGAGGCAGCAGUGAGGAAUAUUGGUCAAUGGGCGGAAGCCUGAACCAGCCAAGUCGCGUGAGGGAUUAAGGCCCUGCGGGUCGUAAACCUCUUUUGCCGGGGAGCAGAGGUCGGGACGUGUCCUGUCCGGGAGAGUACCCGUAGAAAAAGCAUCGGCUAACUCGGUGCCAGCAGCGGCGGUAAUACGGAGGAUGCGAGGGUUAUCCGGAUUUAUUGGGUUUAAAGGGUGCGUAGGCGGGCAUUUAAGCCGGCGGUCAAGUGUCGGGGCUCAACCCCGGCCUGCCGUCGGAACUGGGUGCCUUGAGUGGGCGAGAAGCAUGCGGAAUGCGUGGUGUAGCGGUGAAAUGCAUAGAUAUCACGCAGAACCCCGAUUGCGAAGGCAGCAUACCGGCGCCCUACUGACGCUGAGGCACGAAAGUGCGGGUAUCGAACAGGAUUAGAUACCCCGGUAGUC
This 460-nucleotide ribosomal RNA is filed under the name uncultured bacterium. RNAcentral's name for it is "partial 16S ribosomal RNA". It matches the Rfam family "Bacterial small subunit ribosomal RNA", at positions 338 to 795 of the family's 1533-position model. The record is from RNAcentral.